UUAACUAUUAUAUAGUACUCAGACGACACAUAAACAGGUUUUGGUUGGGUCUCUGGCGGGCACUCACAAGCCGAAGCCUGUGGCAAGAUGCGUCCCGCCAAAGCAACAAGAGAAUAGAUAUCAAGGGUGGGAGAUCUACCCGUAAGGGCAAGAACUCUGUAAUGAUCCUUCCGCAGGUUCACCUACGGAAA
RNAcentral lists this unclassified non-coding RNA (191 nucleotides) under uncultured fungus. RNAcentral describes it as "sequence contains ITS1". The record is from RNAcentral. Lineage: Eukaryota; Fungi.